RNAcentral lists this long non-coding RNA (776 nucleotides) under Chinchilla lanigera (long-tailed chinchilla). RNAcentral's name for it is "lncRNA (ENSCLAG00000024429.1)". The record is from RNAcentral. Lineage: Eukaryota; Metazoa; Chordata; Mammalia; Rodentia; Chinchillidae.
CUUAAACCGGUUACCUCUGUCAACAGCUGGGUCUCAGUCCCCCAGGGCCUGCCAAGCAACCACGCCGCAGCUCCUCAGAACUAUCCUGGCAAGUGAAAGAAGACAGAGCUUUCACUCCCAAGACUUUCCUCUUCCACAGGGUAAGAGUUAAUUUCAGACUGUGCUGUAAUCUGUGCAAGUUCACCCAAACUGAGCCAAUUCCCAUGGCUUUGGGAACGCCCCAAGGCAGAGAAACUGGAAAACAUCCUGCAGGGUAAGGCCUGAGUACUUGAAAGUCACAGCUAUCUGCACCAGAUCCGGGCACCCAGGAGGUGAAGAGAGACAGAGCCAAGGAAUGCGAUGCUGUGCUCAAGAGGCAUCUGCUACAACCAGCGGACCCCUUAUCUCCUUUGGUGUGAUAAAAAAUAGAAUGAAUACUACUACUGAGUCCCAUCUAAUGGAAAGGCAGACUCAUGAAAACACCACCAUGUGUCCUCUUCCACCUCCAUCACCAGAGCUGGUACUGUGUGAGAGCCUUCUCCCCAAAGUCGAAAUAAUCACGAAAGAUUCAUGGUAUUGGACAGUUUUCAUUAAUCUUCAAAUUUCAUCAUAAAUGUAGAAUUCUAAUGGACAUAAAUAUUCAGUGAGCUUUACUGAUAAUCUUCUAAAAAUUCCAUUUUGGGAUAGAAACAUUACUUUCAGAGCUACAAAAUCUCUUCACCCAGAUGUUGACCUUUCUCAAGUAUAGGAUACAAAACAAAGUCAAAAGUAUUGAGCAUGGCUACUUAUAUCAGUUC